RNAcentral lists this ribosomal RNA (253 nucleotides) under uncultured bacterium. RNAcentral describes it as "partial 16S ribosomal RNA". It matches the Rfam family "Bacterial small subunit ribosomal RNA", at positions 524 to 776 of the family's 1533-position model. The record is from RNAcentral.
UACAGAGGGGGCUAGCGUUGUUCGGAAUUACUGGGCGUAAAGGGCGCGUAGGUGGCCUGUUAAGUCGAACGUGAAAUCCCCCGGCUCAACCGGGGAACGGCCGGGCAUACUGGCGGUCUUGGGCCAGCUAGGGGUCAUCGGAACAAACGGUGGAGCGGUGAAAUGCGUAGAUAUCGUUUGGAACGCCGACGGUGAAAACAGAUGACUGGGGCUGUGCCGACGCUGAGACACGAAAGCCAGGGGAGCAAACGGG